GUCCCGGGCGCCAGCGGACCCCGCACCAGCGCCCCCAGAUGGGGGACGCCUGCCUGCCCCCACCGGGGGCUUCCUGUAGAUGGUGACAAAUACAAGAGCAUCUGUAGGGCCUGGGAGAGCUGGGGCUCCGCCCACCCGGUCCCCAGGGGCACACAUGGGCCUCCCCCAAGGGCUCUGGGCUGGGAGCAGCACAGAGCUCGGGCUUCAGCCUCCAGGUGUGGUGGAGAAGGGGACAAGAGAACAGAGCCACGGCCACGCCCUGUGGCUUUGGAAGAGUGGCCCACUGAGAGAGGCCCCCAAGAAGCAGCAGCAGCCGGCAGCCAGCAGCCACCAUGUCUGACGAGGAAGUUGAACACGUUGAGGAGCAGUAUGAAGAGGAAGAAGAGGCCCAGGAGGAAGCUCCCAGCCCUGCAGAAGUCCAUGAGCCAGCCCCCGAAGUUCAUGUACCAGAGGAAGUCCACGAAGACGCCCUCGAGGACGUGCGGGAGGAGGAGGAGGAAGAAGAGAAGCCAAGACCCAAGUGAGUACCAGCGUGGCCCAGGGCUGGGGUGCGAGGGGAGAAGCCCAGGUGUACAGGACGGGUGAUGCUGAGGUGGCCCAGAACACUGACUGGGGAGGCCCAGGGCAAGCCAGGAGGGCUUCCUGCAAGAGGAGGCUACAGCCAAAGCGAGGAGGGGUCCAGCAGGGUGGGUGUCAGCGGGAGGAAGGAAGAGGCGGGAGCAGAGGAGAGGUCGGAGGUGUUGCCUCUCUGGACCCCACUCCGUGAGCCCCAGUACUGGUGGUAGGGGUGGGGGUCUCCCAGGGCUCUGAGUGUGCAAGUGAACAUGGAAGGAGCUGCCUGGGUGGGGUGGGGGCUCUUGGGGGGGCCCCUGAGCCCCUUCUCGGGGGUCUCUCAGAGAUGGAUUUUGGAACGCAGCUUCCCCUGGUGCCGGUUGUGGGAAGGACCUGGGGGCCCCGGCUGGUGCGCCCCAGGGGCUCCUGGGAGAGCGGCUGCCGUGUUUGCACUUUACAGAACGUGGGGCCGGCUCCCAAGAUAUUUUCUCAUUUUAGAAAAAUUGUUUGUGUUUUCAUUAUGAAAAUAAAACACCUCAUUAAGGGAAAUUUGGAAAAUAC
This 1113-nucleotide long non-coding RNA is filed under the name Oryctolagus cuniculus (rabbit). Its description in RNAcentral is "lncRNA (ENSOCUG00000037960.1)". The record is from RNAcentral. Lineage: Eukaryota; Metazoa; Chordata; Mammalia; Lagomorpha; Leporidae.